GUGCUCACUUCACUAGCACAUAUACUAAAAUUGAAAUGAUACAGAGUUUAGCAUUGCCCCUGCACAAGGAUGACACACAAAUUCGUGAAAUGUUCCAUAUUUUU
Molecule: small nuclear RNA, 104 nt
Organism: Arvicanthis niloticus (Nile rat)
Lineage: Eukaryota; Metazoa; Chordata; Mammalia; Rodentia; Muridae
Source: RefSeq, a predicted model, not a curated record